RNAcentral lists this long non-coding RNA (415 nucleotides) under Rattus norvegicus (Norway rat). Its description in RNAcentral is "long non-coding RNA NONRATT019150". The record is from RNAcentral. Lineage: Eukaryota; Metazoa; Chordata; Mammalia; Rodentia; Muridae.
UGGCUGUGCCCCCAUGCCUGGGAAGGGCUGACGCUUUUCCAGUUCGUGGUUACACAGACAAGGCACAGAGCUCUUGCCCUAGCAUUCCUCACACCCUGGGUUAUGGGACAUGGCUCAGCAAAAUGCUUGUCAUGCAAGCACGAGGACUUCAGUUUGACCCCCAGCACCCGUGCCAGAAAUGGCAGGUGUAUCAGGGCACGUGGGCAGCUGGAGAUCAGAGAGCCUCUGGGCUCGUUGUUCAGCCAGCCUAGCCGAUUAGUGAGCCUCGAAGAAAUCCGCCGUGUGGCUCCUGAGGAACUACACUGAGGUUGUCCUCUGGCCUGCACGUGCACGCAGAAGCACACACAUGCUCACAAAAGUUAUGGAAAUCCUGCUUGGUAUCCAUGGAAACCUAUAGAUAUGCCCUCUCAGACAA